AUAUAUAUAUCAAUUUGUCACGUUUCCUCAGAU
Molecule: non-coding RNA, 33 nt
Filed under: Trypanosoma brucei brucei
Lineage: Eukaryota; Euglenozoa; Kinetoplastea; Trypanosomatida; Trypanosomatidae
Source: RNAcentral